Molecule: long non-coding RNA, 745 nt
Filed under: Spirodela polyrhiza (greater duckweed)
Lineage: Eukaryota; Viridiplantae; Streptophyta; Magnoliopsida; Alismatales; Araceae
Description: long non-coding RNA (SPOL_LNC000525)
Source: RNAcentral
CCAUUUUUUAUUUCUUCAUUUAAGAUUAAAGCACUACUACAAUACAGAUGUAUGACUUAUGAAAUGGUUCAAAUCCUCCAUAAAUGCCAACUUAAAGGCAUAUGUACUAUCUAUGUAGCACAAAUAAAGCUUGUAUCUUUUCCUUCAUUAGUGAGAGAGAGAGAGAGAGUCACCGUGAAACGCGGAGGGAUCAGAGAGAUUGGGGUUGAGUAAGAAACAAAGAAUGAACAGAGAUGAUGGGCGGCGGUUAACAAAAUGAGGGAGAGAGAGGUAGCACACACGUUCCUUGAAAUGACAAGACAGGCGGCUGACUGUGGGAGGGGGAUACGAGGUCGAUAUCCUCACCUUGAAAUUAGAAGGGAUGAGAGACGAAGGCCCACCCGCAGAGGGAACAAGUGAGAGAGGUAGGCGAUGAACAUGAACCACAAAUGGAAAGGAGGUGCGGGGAGGCAGAUCACAGUUGGCUGAGACGAUGAGGGGCAAUCCGUACAUUCCACUCCGGGAAACAGGGUAGCUAGAAAGGUCCAAUCUUUCCCCAGCAUCGGGGAAUUUCGUGCUGAUCGCGCGCUGGCGUUGACUUCGCCAAGUAUAUAUAUCGAGCAGUCUUCGAUCGGCCCCGCAGUGUUUCAAGGUGACGACGAGACACGAGAUCAGCCCGCUCUAAGAAAGCCUAAACCAGAGUUGUUGCUGAGGAAGAAAGAGAGAGAGAGAGAGAGAGAGAGAGAGAGAGGAGGAGAGAGGANNN